This 707-nucleotide ribosomal RNA is filed under the name Pseudomonas aeruginosa. RNAcentral's name for it is "bacterial SSU rRNA". It matches the Rfam family "Bacterial small subunit ribosomal RNA", at positions 51 to 748 of the family's 1533-position model. Lineage: Bacteria; Pseudomonadati; Pseudomonadota; Gammaproteobacteria; Pseudomonadales; Pseudomonadaceae. The record is from RNAcentral.
CUACCUGCAGUCGAGCGGAUGAAGGGAGAUUGUUCUUGCAUUCGGCGACGGACGGAUGAGUGAUGCCUGUGAGUCUGCCUGGCUGAGGGGGAUAACGUCCGGAAACGGGCGCUAAUACCGCAUACGUCCUGAGGGAGAAGUGGGGGAUCUUCGGACCUCCCUCUAUCCGAUGAACCUAGGUCGGAUUAACUAGUUGGUGGGGAAAGGCCUACCCAGGUGACCAUCCAUCCCUGGUCUGACAGGAUGAACGACCACACUGGAACUGACACACAGUCCAUACUCCUACCUGAGGCAGCAGUGGGGAAUAUUGGACAAUGGGCGAAAGCCUGAUCCAGCCAUGCCGCGUGUGUGAAGAAGGACUUCGGAUUGUAUAUCACUUUAUUUUGGGAGGAAGGGCAGUAAGUUAAUACCUUGCUGUUUUGACUGUACCAACCCAAUAAACACCGGCUAACUUCGUGCCAGCAGCCGCGGUAAUACAAAGGGUGCAAGCGUUAAUCGGAAUUACUGACUGGUAAAGCGCGCGUAGGUGGUUCAUCUGGUUGGAUGUGAAAUCCCCGGGCUCAACCUGGGAACUGCAUCCAAAACUACUGAGCUAGAGUACGGUAGAGGGUGGUGGAAUUUCCUGUGUAGCGGUGAAAUGCGUGAGAUAUAGAUAAGGAACAACAGCUGGCGAAAGGCGACCACCCUGCCACUGAUACUGACUGCUG